This 446-nucleotide ribosomal RNA is filed under the name uncultured bacterium. RNAcentral describes it as "bacterial SSU rRNA". It matches the Rfam family "Bacterial small subunit ribosomal RNA", at positions 330 to 792 of the family's 1533-position model. The record is from RNAcentral.
UCCAGACUCCUACGGGAGGCAGCAGUGGGGAAUAUUGCGCAAUGGGGGCAACCCUGACGCAGCAACGCCGCGUGCGGGACGAAGGCCUUCGGGUUGUAAACCGCUUUCAGCAGGGAAGAACCAUGGCGGUACCUGCAGAAGAAGCCCCGGCUAACUACGUGCCAGCAGCCGCGGUAAUACGGAGGGGGCAAGCGUUACUCGGAAUCACUGGGCGUAAAGAGCGCGUAGGCGGGAUAGCAAGUCAGAUGUGAAAUCCUAUGGCUUAACCAUAGAACUGCAUUUGAAACUGUUAUUCUAGAGUAUGGGAGAGGUAGGUGGAAUUCUUGGUGUAGGGGUAAAAUCCGUAGAGAUCAAGAGGAAUACUCAUUGCGAAGGCGACCUGCUAGAACAUAACUGACGCUGAUGCGCGAAAGCGUGGGGAGCAAACAGGAUUAGAUACCCGCGUA